Molecule: small RNA, 127 nt
Filed under: Marmota monax (woodchuck)
Lineage: Eukaryota; Metazoa; Chordata; Mammalia; Rodentia; Sciuridae
Source: RNAcentral
GCUGGGAGCAGUGGUGCACAUCUGUAAUCCCAGCAGUUUGGGAGGCUGAGGUAGGAGGAUCACGAGUUCAAAGCCAGCCGCAGCAAAAAAACAAGGCCUUAAGCAACUUAGUGAGACCCUGUCUUUA